This 407-nucleotide ribosomal RNA is filed under the name uncultured bacterium. RNAcentral describes it as "partial 16S ribosomal RNA". It matches the Rfam family "Bacterial small subunit ribosomal RNA", at positions 30 to 526 of the family's 1533-position model. The record is from RNAcentral.
AUUGAACGCUGGCGGCAGGCCUAACACAUGCAAGUCGAACGGAGUGGCGGACGGGUGAGUAAUGUCUGGGCAACUGCAUGAUGGAGGGGGAUAACGCCCGGAAACGGGCGCUAAUACCGCUUACUGUCAGAUGGGCCUAGGUCGGAGUAGCUAGUUGGUGGGUGAAAGGCCUACCAAGGCGACGAUCCGUAACUGGUCUGAGAGGAUGAUCAGUAACACUGGAACUGAGACACGGUCCAGACUCCUACGGGAGGCAGCAGUGGGGAAUAUUGGACAAUGGGCGAAAGCCUGAUCCAGCCAUGCCGCGUGUGUGAAGAAGGUCUUCGGAUUGUAAAGCACUUUAAGUUGGGAGGCGUUACCAACAGAAUAAGCACCGGCUAACUUCGUGCCAGCAGCCGCGGUAAUAC